Molecule: non-coding RNA, 124 nt
Filed under: Aplanochytrium sp. PBS07
Lineage: Eukaryota; Bigyra; Thraustochytrida; Thraustochytriidae
Source: RNAcentral
CAAGGAUAUGGUUAAACCUCCGAUUUCUUUGCCGAGACGGACAAACCACGCAGACCAAGUUUCUGAUUUCAUUCCAAAGCUUAAAAUUUUUGAAAAAGACGAUAACGAAACUUUGUUCAAAAGC